GACGAACGCUGGCGGCGUGCUUAACACAUGCAAGUCGAACGGAAAGGCCCUGCUUUUGUGGGGUGCUCGAGUGGCGAACGGGUGAGUAACACGUGAGUAACCUGCCCCUGACUUUGGGAUAACUUCAGGAAACUGGGGCUAAUACCGGAUAGGAGCUCCUGCUGCAUGGUGGGGGUUGGAUAGUUUCGGCGGUUGGGGAUGGACUCGCGGCUUAUCAGCUUGUUGGUGGGGUAGUGGCUUACCAAGGCUUUGACGGGUAGCCGGCCUGAGAGGGUGACCGGACACAUUAGGACUGAGAUACGGCACAGACUCCAACGGGAGGCAGCGGUGGGGAAUAUUGCACAAUGGGCGGAAGCCUGAUGCGGCAACGCCGCGUGGGGGAUGACAGCCUUCGGGUUGGAAACCGCUUUCGCCUGUGACGAAGCGUGAGUGACGGUAAUGGGUAAAGAAGCACCGGCUAACUACGUG
This 468-nucleotide ribosomal RNA is filed under the name uncultured bacterium. RNAcentral describes it as "partial 16S ribosomal RNA". It matches the Rfam family "Bacterial small subunit ribosomal RNA", at positions 28 to 507 of the family's 1533-position model. The record is from RNAcentral.